Molecule: ribosomal RNA, 993 nt
Filed under: uncultured marine bacterium
Lineage: Bacteria
Description: bacterial SSU rRNA
Rfam family: Bacterial small subunit ribosomal RNA
Source: RNAcentral
GUCGAACGGGAUAGAGCUUGCUCUAUCUAGUGGCAAACGGGUGAGUAAUGCACGGGAAUCUACCUUUAGGUAAGGAAUAACCAUGGGAAACUUUGGCUAAUACCUUAUAAUAUGCGCAAGCAUCAAAGAUUUAUCGCCUAAAGAGGAGCUCGUGUCAGAUUAGGUAGUUGGUGGGGUAAAGGCCUACCAAGCCUGUGAUCUGUAGCUGGUCUGAGAGGAUGAUCAGCCACACUGGGACUUAGACACGGCCCAGACUCCUACGGGAGGCAGCAGUGGGGAAUAUUGGACAAUGGGGGAAACCCUGAUCCAGCAAUGCCGCGUGAGUGAAGAAGGCCCUUGGGUUGUAAAGCUCUUUCACCUGUGACGAUAAUGACGGUAACAGGACAAGAAGCCCCGGCUAACUCCGUGCCAGCAGCCGCGGUAAGACGGAGGGGGCUAGCGUUAUUCGGAAUUACUGGGCGUAAAGGGCGUGUAGGCCGUUUUUUAAGCAAGAUGUGAAAGCCUCAAGCUCAACUUGAGAACUGCAUCUUGAACUGAAAAACUAGAGUGCGAAAGGGGAAAGAGGAAUUCCUAGUGUAGGGGUGAAAUCCAUAGAUAUUAGGAAGAACACCAAAGGCGAAGGCAACUUUCUGGUUCGCAACUGACGCUGAGACACGAAAGCGUGGGGAGCAAAUAGGAUUAGAUACCCUAGUAGUCCACGCUGUAAACGAUGAAUGCUAGACGUUGGGGGCUUGCCUCUCAGUGUCGCAGCUAACGCAUGAAGCAUUCCGCCUGGGGAGUACGGUCGCAAGAUUAAAACUCAAAGGAAUUGACGGGGGCCUGCACAAGCGGUGGAGCAUGUGGUUUAAUUCGACGCAACGCGAAAAACCUUACCAGCCCUUGACAUAGGAAUAGAGAGCAUCAGAGAUGAAGCUUGCGGGUUCGGCCGGAUUCCGUACAGGUGCUGCAUGGCUGUCGUCAGCUCGUGUCGUGAGAUGUUGGGUUAAGUCCCGC